UGGGGAAUAUUGCGCAAUGGGCGAAAGCCUGACGCAGCGACGCCGCGUGGGGGAUGACGGCCUUCGGGUUGUAAACCUCUUUUACCACCAACGCAGGCUCCGGGUUCUCUCGGGGUUGACGGUAGGUGGGGAAUAAGGACCGGCUAACUACGUGCCAGCAGCCGCGGUAAUACGUAGGGUCCGAGCGUUGUCCGGAAUUAUUGGGCGUAAAGAGCUCGUAGGCGGCGUGUCGCGUCUGCUGUGAAAGACCGGGGCUUAACUCCGGUUCUGCAGUGGAUACGGGCAUGCUAGAGGUAGGUAGGGGAGACUGGAAUUCCUGGUGUAGCGGUGAAAUGCGCAGAUAUCAGGAGGAACACCGGUGGCGAAGGCGGGUCUCUGGGCCUUACCUGACGCUGAGGAGCGAAAGCAUGGGGAGCGAACAGG
Molecule: ribosomal RNA, 423 nt
Filed under: uncultured Nocardiopsis sp.
Lineage: Bacteria; Bacillati; Actinomycetota; Actinomycetes; Streptosporangiales; Nocardiopsidaceae
Description: bacterial SSU rRNA
Rfam family: Bacterial small subunit ribosomal RNA
Source: RNAcentral